GCAUCCUUGAUAUGCCUUUCCAUCCCUGGUCAUAUCGUUUGACAAUAUUCAUGGCCUGCUCGCCCAUCACUGUGCAUUACCAUGAUCCUGGGGAUACAUGACCGCACCACCCAAUAUCUUAGGUCCACAGCCUACUCACACAUUGAGCACUGCCACAAUAUCGGCAUUCCAGUCUGCCCCAUCAAGUAAAUAUCUUCGACCGGAUGAUAAAUGCAUCAAGCUGUCCUCUCCUCGGCAUGACCCUCUUGGCCAUCCAUGAUCCUUGGCCCAGCU
Molecule: long non-coding RNA, 273 nt
Filed under: Elaeis guineensis (African oil palm)
Lineage: Eukaryota; Viridiplantae; Streptophyta; Magnoliopsida; Arecales; Arecaceae
Description: long non-coding RNA (EGUI_LNC019583)
Source: RNAcentral